CUUUAGGUUCGGAAUAGCUCCUGGAAACGGGUGGUAAUGCCGAAUGUGCCCUUCGGGGGAAAGAUUUAUCGCCUUUAGAGCGGCCCGCGUCUGAUUAGCUAGUUGGUGAGGUAAUGGCUCACCAAGGCGACGAUCAGUAGCUGGUCUGAGAGGAUGACCAGCCACAUUGGGACUGAGACACGGCCCAAACUCCUACGGGAGGCAGCAGUGGGGAAUCUUGCGCAAUGGGCGAAAGCCUGACGCAGCCAUGCCGCGUGAAUGAUGAAGGUCUUAGGAUUGUAAAAUUCUUUCACCGGGGACGAUAAUGACGGUACCCGGAGAAGAAGCCCCGGCUAACUUCGUGCCAGCAGCCGCGGUAAUACGAAGGGGGCUAGCGUUGCUCGGAAUUACUGGGCGUAAAGGGCGCGUAGGCGGACAUUUAAGUCAGGGGUGAAAUCCCAGAGCUCAACUCUGGAACUGCCUUUGAUACUGGGUGUCUUGAGUGUGAGAGAGGUAUGUGGAACUCCGAGUGUAGAGGUGAAAUUCGUAGAUUUCGGAAGAACACCAGUGGCGAAGGCGACAUACUGGCUCAUUACUGACGCUGAGGCGCGAAAGCGUGGGGAGCAAACAGGAUUAGAUA
This 619-nucleotide ribosomal RNA is filed under the name Brevundimonas sp. SL3-9. Its description in RNAcentral is "bacterial SSU rRNA". It matches the Rfam family "Bacterial small subunit ribosomal RNA", at positions 130 to 784 of the family's 1533-position model. The record is from RNAcentral. Lineage: Bacteria; Pseudomonadati; Pseudomonadota; Alphaproteobacteria; Caulobacterales; Caulobacteraceae.